Molecule: long non-coding RNA, 443 nt
Filed under: Vigna radiata
Lineage: Eukaryota; Viridiplantae; Streptophyta; Magnoliopsida; Fabales; Fabaceae
Description: long non-coding RNA (VRAD_LNC002641)
Source: RNAcentral
UGUGGUCUCUUGGGAGAUUAUGAUGAAUUGGCUAGAUUGAUUCCUCUUCUUGUUUGUGUUUUUGUAAAUACAUGGUGUACCUUGUUUCUUAGAGUUAUGUCCAAUAUUGAGAGAAAAGAAAAGAGACAAGAUGAAAAAAAGAAAGAAAAAAAAAUACAAAAAAAAUGAGAAAAAUUAAAAAAAAAAAUUGUGUGAAUGAUGGAGUCAAGAAGAGGAUUGAAUUAGAGGGUUUGGGUGCUAUUUGACUCUGUUUUUACUUGUUCCCUAUUGCUCCUCUAUUCCUUUCGAUUUGUAGCUUCUCAUCCAUAUUAUAUCCCCCCUUAUCCUUGGCCCCAUUACAUCCAUAAAAGACCUUUUGAUUUGAACAUGCAUAUGUUUUAAGUGUUGAUAUUAGAGGCUUGCCAAGUCUGUUUGUUGUUUGCUUUCUUGAGUGCACUGAGUUG